Molecule: transfer RNA, 67 nt
Filed under: Acropyga myops
Lineage: Eukaryota; Metazoa; Arthropoda; Insecta; Hymenoptera; Formicidae
Description: tRNA-Pro
Source: RNAcentral
CAAAAAAUAAUUUAUUAAGAAUAUUAAUUUUGGAGAUUAAAAGUAUAAUUUAGGAUUAUUUUUUUGA